This 96-nucleotide small nucleolar RNA is filed under the name Electrophorus electricus (electric eel). Its description in RNAcentral is "Small nucleolar RNA SNORD16". It matches the Rfam family "Small nucleolar RNA SNORD16". Rfam says of the family: U16 is a member of the C/D class of snoRNA which contain the C (UGAUGA) and D (CUGA) box motifs. The record is from Rfam by way of RNAcentral. Lineage: Eukaryota; Metazoa; Chordata; Actinopteri; Gymnotiformes; Gymnotidae.
UGCGAUGAUGGUGUAAUUUGCGUCCGACUCUGGUCAGCGACAGAUGCCUGCUGUCUAGUUCUGGCACGGAGUGAUGACGAUAAUGGUGACUGAGCG